AUGGAGCAGUGUGGACCCGUGUCCUCAAGAUGCCUUCUCCCAGAGGGGCGCUCCUGGUCACGCUAGAACACACGUGUACGUGGUUUGCGUGUUCAGACAGUGGCGUCCCGCUCCCGUCCAGAGGUGGAGAACUUGCUGCUACAAUGAGCGAAGGGACCUGGUUCCCCGCGGGGAGUGGAGCCACGCUGCAGUUCUCCACAGCUUCUCGCAGGGGGUUUCUGGCUUCGUCUCCCCGGAAAUCAGUGUG
Choloepus didactylus (southern two-toed sloth) is the source of this 247-nucleotide long non-coding RNA. RefSeq lists it as uncharacterized. The transcript has 3 exons. The record is from RefSeq and is a predicted model, not a curated record. NCBI's taxonomy places the organism in Eukaryota, Metazoa, Chordata, Mammalia, Pilosa, Megalonychidae.